GACGAACGCUGGCGGCGUGCUUAACACAUGCAAGUCGAACGGAAAGGCCCUGCUUGCAGGGUACUCGAGUGGCGAACGGGUGAGUAACACGUGGGUGAUCUGCCCUGCACUUCGGGAUAAGCCCGGGAAACUGGGUCUAAUACCGGAUAGGAGCCAUUUUUAGUGUGAUGGUUGGAAAGUUUUUUCGGUGUAGGAUGAGCUCGCGGCCUAUCAGCUUGUUGGUGGGGUAAUGGCCUACCAAGGCGGCGACGGGUAGCCGGCCUGAGAGGGUGGACGGCCACAUUGGGACUGAGAUACGGCCCAGACUCCUACGGGAGGCAGCAGUGGGGAAUAUUGCACAAUGGGCGCAAGCCUGAUGCAGCGACGCCGCGUGGGGGAUGACGGCCUUCGGGUUGUAAACUCCUUUCGCUAGGGACGAAGCUUUUUGUGACGGUACCUAGAGAAGAAGCACCGGCUAACUACGUG
Molecule: ribosomal RNA, 465 nt
Filed under: uncultured bacterium
Lineage: Bacteria
Description: partial 16S ribosomal RNA
Rfam family: Bacterial small subunit ribosomal RNA
Source: RNAcentral